This 460-nucleotide ribosomal RNA is filed under the name uncultured bacterium. Its description in RNAcentral is "partial 16S ribosomal RNA". It matches the Rfam family "Bacterial small subunit ribosomal RNA", at positions 338 to 795 of the family's 1533-position model. The record is from RNAcentral.
CCUACGGGCGGCAGCAGUGAGGAAUAUUGGUCAAUGGACGAGAGUCUGAACCAGCCAAGUAGCGUGAAGGAUGACUGCCCUAUGGGUUGUAAACUUCUUUUAUAUGGGAAUAAAAUGUUCCACGUGUGGGAUUUUGUAUGUACCCUAUGAAUAAGGAACGGCUAACUCCGGGCCAGCAGCCGCGGUAAUUCGGAGGAUUCGAGCGUUAUCCGGAUUUUUUGGGUUUAAAGGGGGCGUAGGUGGGUUGUUAAGUCAGUUGUGAAAGUUUGCGGCUCAACCGUAAAAUUGCAGUUGAAACUGGCAGUCUUGAGUGCAGUAGAGGUGGGCGGAAUUCGUGGUGUAGCGGUGAAAUGCUUAGAUAUCACGAAGAACUCCGAUUGCGAAGGCAGUUCACUGGACUGCAACUGACACUGAGGCUCGAAAGUGUGGGUAUCAAACAGGAUUAGAUACCCCAGUAGUC